Molecule: long non-coding RNA, 241 nt
Filed under: Neodiprion pinetum (white pine sawfly)
Lineage: Eukaryota; Metazoa; Arthropoda; Insecta; Hymenoptera; Diprionidae
Description: uncharacterized LOC124222945
Source: RNAcentral
UGUGCAUUGAAGUUUGACGGUGAAUAUCUUCUGAACAGAGAGGUAUACAAAAAAAUUGUAAGAGACCUUUUUUGGAGAGAAUUCAAUUUCUUACAAAAAUGUGAUACGUUUUUUUUUUAUAAAUAGUAAAUACCGAGAUAUGUAUUUCUCUUCCUCACCGUAAGAAAAAAAUAGAAAACUGCGAGGCGGAGGACCUUCCUAUUAAAAUUAAGAGCUCAUACUUGGAGAUGUUUUUGAGGUC